This 434-nucleotide ribosomal RNA is filed under the name Gekko gecko (tokay). RNAcentral's name for it is "partial 12S ribosomal RNA". It matches the Rfam family "Bacterial small subunit ribosomal RNA", at positions 786 to 1413 of the family's 1533-position model. Lineage: Eukaryota; Metazoa; Chordata; Lepidosauria; Squamata; Gekkonidae. The record is from RNAcentral.
CUCCAUGGCGCUAGUCGUAAACCCUGAUAGAACCACAUCACAAAUCUAUCCGCCAGGGGACUACUAGUAACUAACUUAAAACUCCAAGGACUUGACGGUGUUCCAUAUCAUCCUAGAGGAGCCUGUCCUAUAACCGAUAAUCCACGUUUUACCUCACCCUCUCUUGCAAUUCCAGUCUAUAUACCGCCGUCGCCAGUCUACCUUUUGAAAGCAAAAAUUAGUAGACAAAAUAGUACCUUCACUAGCACGUCAGGUCGAGGUGUAGCUAACGAGAGGGAAGAGAUGGGCUACAUUGUCUUCAUUAAUAGACCCCCACCAUCAACUACAUGAAAUAAUAGUUAUAAGUCGGAUUUAGUAGUAAACCAAGGCAAGUCAUGCCUGAUUGAAGAACGCUCUGGAACGCGUACACACCGCCCGUCACCCUCUGCAUUAAA